CCUACGGGAGGCAGCAGUGGGGAAUUUUGGACAAUGGGCGAAAGCCUGAUCCAGCCAUGCCGCGUGCAGGAUGAAGGCCUUCGGGUUGUAAACUGCUUUUGUACGGAACGAAAAGGUCUUUUCUAAUAAAGAAGGCUCAUGACGGUACCGUAAGAAUAAGCACCGGCUAACUACGUGCCAGCAGCCGCGGUAAUACGUAGGGUGCGAGCGUUAAUCGGAAUUACUGGGCGUAAAGCGUGCGCAGGCGGUUAUAUAAGACAGUUGUGAAAUCCCCGGGCUCAACCUGGGAACUGCAUCUGUGACUGUAUAGCUAGAGUACGGUAGAGGGGGAUGGAAUUCCGCGUGUAGCAGUGAAAUGCGUAGAUAUGCGGAGGAACACCGAUGGCGAAGGCAAUCCCCCUGGACCUGUACUGACGCUCAUGCACGAAAGCGUGGGGAGCAAACAGGAUUAGAUACCCUGGUAGUCCACGCCCUAAACGAUGUCAACUGGUUGUUGGGUCUUCACUGACUCAGUAACGAAGCUAACGCGUGAAGUUGACCGCCUGGGGNGGACGGCGCGAGUAGUUAAGUUAAAGUAAGUUAGUUAGGCGNGNGAGNGCGACGGACGACGACGAGGGAGGAGG
Molecule: ribosomal RNA, 623 nt
Filed under: uncultured bacterium
Lineage: Bacteria
Description: bacterial SSU rRNA
Rfam family: Bacterial small subunit ribosomal RNA (bases 1-543)
Source: RNAcentral